GCUACAACCGCACAGAACGGGUUUUUAAAGGUUUUUGCCCUGCCCAGGAUGGCGAGUCUGAGUUUAA
Molecule: small RNA, 67 nt
Filed under: Exiguobacterium profundum
Lineage: Bacteria; Bacillati; Bacillota; Bacilli; Caryophanales
Also listed under: 1 other name
Source: RNAcentral